RNAcentral lists this ribosomal RNA (705 nucleotides) under uncultured bacterium. RNAcentral's name for it is "bacterial SSU rRNA". It matches the Rfam family "Bacterial small subunit ribosomal RNA", at positions 73 to 802 of the family's 1533-position model. The record is from RNAcentral.
UGCUAGCUUGCUAAUAAUUCUCUAGUGGCGCACGGGUGAGUAACACGUGAGUAACCUGCCCCCAAGAGUGGGAUAGCCCCGGGAAACUGGGAUUAAUACCGCAUAAAAUCGCAAGAUUAAAGCAGCAAUGCGCUUGGGGAUGGGCUCGCGUCCUAUUAGUUAGUUGGUGAGGUAACGGCUCACCAAGGCGAUGACGGGUAGCCGGUCUGAGAGGAUGUCCGGCCACACUGGAACUGAGACACGGUCCAGACACCUACGGGUGGCAGCAGUCGAGAAUCAUUCACAAUGGGGGAAACCCUGAUGGUGCGACGCCGCGUGGGGGAAUGAAGGUCUUCGGAUUGUAAACCCCUGUCAUGUGGGAGCAAAUUAAAAAGAUAGUACCACAAGAGGAAGAGACGGCUAACUCUGUGCCAGCAGCCGCGGUAAUACAGAGGUCUCAAGCGUUGUUCGGAAUCACUGGGCGUAAAGCGUGCGUAGGCGGUUUCGUAAGUCGUGUGUGAAAGGCGGGGGCUCAACCCCCGGACUGCACAUGAUACUGCGAGACUAGAGUAAUGGAGGGGGAACCGGAAUUCUCGGUGUAGCAGUGGAAUGCGUAGAUAUCGAGAGGAACACUCGUGGCGAAGGCGGGUUCCUGGACAUUAACUGACGCUGAGGCACGAAGGCCAGGGGAGCGAAAGGGAUUAGAUACCCCUGUAGUCCUGGCAG